RNAcentral lists this ribosomal RNA (496 nucleotides) under uncultured bacterium. RNAcentral's name for it is "partial 16S ribosomal RNA". It matches the Rfam family "Bacterial small subunit ribosomal RNA", at positions 28 to 506 of the family's 1533-position model. The record is from RNAcentral.
GAUGAACGCUGGCGGCGUGCCUAAUACAUGCAAGUCGAGCGAACAGACGAGGAGCUUGCUCCUCUGACGUUAGCGGCGGACGGGUGAGUAACACGUGGAUAACCUACCUAUAAGACUGGGAUAACUUCGGGAAACCGGAGCUAAUACCGGAUAAUAUAUUGAACCGCAUGGUUCAAUAGUGAAAGACGGUUUUGCUGUCACUUAUAGAUGGAUCCGCGCCGCAUUAGCUAGUUGGUAAGGUAACGGCUUACCAAGGCAACGAUGCGUAGCCGACCUGAGAGGGUGAUCGGCCACACUGGAACUGAGACACGGUCCAGACUCCUACGGGAGGCAGCAGUAGGGAAUCCUCCGCAAUGGACGAAAGCUUGACGGAGCAACGCCGCGUGAGUGAUGAAGGUCUUCGGAUCGUAAAACUCUGUUAUUAGGGAAGAACAAAUGUGUAAGUAACUAUGCACGUCUUGACGGUACCUAAUCAGAAAGCCACGGCUAACUACGU